CUGUGAGCCGCAAGACUCGAUGGCACCUGACAACACCAACAGAUGUCUGCGAGCAGACAAUCUUAGUCUGACAAGUUUGGGCCGCUGUGACUGCUUCCAAGGAGCCCUGGUGGUGCAGUGGUGAAGUGCUCGGCUGCUAACUGAGAGGUUGGUGAUUGGAACCCACCAGCUGCUCAGCGGGAAAAAGAUGUGGCAGUCUGCUUCCGUAAAGAUUUACAGCCUUGGAAACCCCAUGGGGCCAUUCUGCUCUGUCCUAUAGGGUUGCUAUGAGUUGGACUUGACUCGACAGCAAUGGAUUUGGUGACUGCUUCCAGCUGUAGAAUAGCUUAAACCAUUGUUUCACAAACUUACCUGAUCAAAAAAUUCACCUGAGUGCUUGUUAAAAAUACUGAUUCCUAUAUCCAAUCCUGGAGAAGUGAUUCAGUAGAUCUGGCGUGAGACCCAAGAAUCUGUAUCUUUUUAAAAAAAAUACCCUCUGUUAUGCCAAGGAAGCCUUCCUUCUAGCACGGGGUUCUCAUCAUGUCCUCACUUUUGUUUCAGCUGGGAAAUCGUCCCCAGCAAAUUCCAAAGCUGCUGUGCCGGUUCCUAAAGCUUGUACCCCCAGGACUCAAAGCGUUAGUGGGGACCAGCACCUUUGCCAGGUGUUCCUUGAGACAGUUUCUGCUGCUUUUUAAUGUCCCAGGUUUCUCAGACAUGUUCCCACAGGGCACAGGAAAUUCCAGCAUGCCCGUCUACAGCCACCAAGCUGUCAGGAAUGCUCCAAGUAUUUUCUACGCCUGAGUCUGUGGACAAGCCAAGUGCAUUCAAGUGUUCUUCAACAUCCAUCCAGUUGGAGGUCUUCAGACUUCAGAAUUAUACUCCCUUCCAAAACGGCAGGUUUCACCACACCCUUCAGGGGCAGAGCUGGACUCCUGUGCCACUUAUGGCCAGGAAGAGAACAACUGAAAGGCUAGACUCUGGCUGACCGGCUGCUGAGUAGCCUGAGGCUGAUUAGUGCCUGCUGGUUUAUUCUACACAGAUUUGCCAAUCAGUGGAUCAUUCGCCCACCCUAAGUGAGUUAUUCAGCCACGAAAAGGAAUGAAGUCCUGAUACACGCUACAACAUGGAUGAACCUUGAGAAGACUGUGCUGAGUGAAAGAAGCAGCCACAAAAGGCCACAUAUUACGUGCUUCCAUUUAUAUGCAGUGUCUAAAAUAGGCAACUCUAUAGACAACGUAGAUUAGUGGCUGCCUAGGUUUGGGGGUGGUGAGGAGAUGGGGGGUGGUAGCUAAAGGGUACAGCGUUUCUCUGUGCAGUGAUGAAGAUGGUCUAAAAUUGAUCAUGGUGAUGAAUGCACAACUGUGAAUAUACUAAAAUCCACUGAAUUGUUCACGUAAAAAUCCCCCUAGCAUCCCUAACCAUCUAGCGUUAGGGUCCAGGAUGUCACCAGAUUGGAAACAAGCAGAAGCUGGGAUUAAAAAAGUGAGCAAUGGAAGGAACUAGACCAAACGGAGUGGGAGCAAGUCAGGAUGAUGCUAGCAACCAGGCUACAUAGAGGACAAGGGAAGCCAACUGGGUUACGACCGAAAGUAAACAGAAUAUGAUACUAACAGCUGACACUCACUGUGUACUUCCUACGUGCCGGGUUUAUGUGGGUUAUCUCAUGUAACCUUCACAGGAAGCCCAUGAGGAAAUUAGGACAUAAGGAGAUUAAGUAACUUGCCCCUGGCCACUCAGCUAGUGAAGGGCAGGGUCAGGACUUAAACCCGGGAAGCUUGACUCUAAAAUCUCCAGCCUUAACCACUACGUUACACUGGUCGAGGGUGGAAGGAAUCCAGGUAUCCUGAGGACACAUACCAGGUUCGGUAGAAUGGAAGAAGUGACGAGAUUAUGGCCAGGGAUGGGCAUUUAAAUUUAAGAUCUUGUGGAUUGAGCAGAUUCCAUAUUCAAGGACUGUGGGUGGCAAGAGGUCAACAAGGCUGAGAAAAUGUGAGGCCAGGCUGUCCAAAAGUCAUGAACGGGGAUAUGGAGGUGAUCACGGACGAUGGUAGCUGGAGAGAAAGGAUGGAAUAAGUUCCUGACACGCCACGUUGCUAAUAGUCAGGGAUAGUUGGUGACAAAGUCGAGUGAAAAGUAGCAAUAAAUUGUUGAAUCUUGUGGCUUGGCUCAUCAUCUGCUUUUAGCAUUGGAAAUCAAGCUAUUAAAUUCCCAAGCAGUCACUUGUUAUGAGAAUACAUAUAGUAUAACACUUUUAUUCCU
Molecule: long non-coding RNA, 2238 nt
Organism: Trichechus manatus latirostris (Florida manatee)
Lineage: Eukaryota; Metazoa; Chordata; Mammalia; Sirenia; Trichechidae
Exons: 3
Source: RefSeq, a predicted model, not a curated record